UCUCUUUCCUGAUGACUUGCACUGGGCUCUGACCUCUUAUGGAGACUACGUGCAUCUUUGGCCCUGACAAGCCAACGUGUCUGAAAAGAAA
This is a non-coding RNA of Xyrichtys novacula (pearly razorfish), 91 nucleotides long. Lineage: Eukaryota; Metazoa; Chordata; Actinopteri; Labriformes; Labridae. The record is from the annotation of a GenBank genome assembly.